Long non-coding RNA from Canis lupus familiaris (dog), 1867 nucleotides. RefSeq lists it as uncharacterized. The record is from RefSeq and is a predicted model, not a curated record. The transcript is spliced from 5 exons. NCBI's taxonomy places the organism in Eukaryota, Metazoa, Chordata, Mammalia, Carnivora, Canidae.
CUCAGAGGACCCUGGAAGACUGCCCAUUGCUGACCAUGGUAGUCCAAACUCAACUUGGAUUCAAGGCUGUGUAGGCAACAUUAUCAAUCUGCCUGUCCGGUCACAUCACCUCCUGUUCCCUGAAAGGUCCUGAGCUUCUAGUGAGGACAGACACCAUGACUCAGUCCUCUUGGCACCAGCCCUCCCUGACCCUCUCCCAUCUACAUACUUAUUAAUGUCCAGUGUAGUCUUCUGCAUAAGGAUUAAUAUAAAUUACGGGAGAUAAUUUGCAAAGAAGGCUAUUUAAAAUUGCGGCAGAGCAGUUCAUUUGUUGCGAUAAUUCACUUUGGUGUAAAAUUCAAUUAUUACUGACAAAUAAAGCUCUAUCCAGACCCCAAAGGAGUGCUACUAAACAGUUUUCACAGCUCAGCACUUUUUUCCACUAAGGAAGAAAGCUGGACAACCAGUUUAUAAAUGCUGACAGAAAUACACAGUAAUUUAGAGAGCUUCCACACACAGUCUCCAAGAUUAACUGCCCUACAUCUCCUAUUAUUGUUUCAACUCAUCCUUCUGAAAUGGUUUUCCACGUAAAGAAAAGCUAUAAAGGAAGCCUUACACGACCGAGCAGUGGUUCCUGCAGGAUGCUCAGGACCCUGAUCAUGUGUCACUGCAAUCUUGAUCCCUGUUUUUGUGAGUAAAUGCCGCCCAAAUGCAGAGACCAGAAGACAAAAGCCCUUAGCCCAGCGGUCUCUGUGCUCCUGGGACCAUAGAGCCGAUAUCAACAGGGUACAUUAACACCUGAUGGGAAGUUGCACUCUUGUCUGAAUGGGCUCUGAUGUAGACCACAUCACUGUGGCUGGCAGGAUUGGUAGGACUUGGAUGGAUGGAUGGGAAGGUGAAGGAAUUCUGGUGGGGAAAAGGGGUGCUUCUUCCCUGAAAUAAAUGAAGGAAACUUUUAUAAUGAAGAAAUUAAUUAAGAACUGCCUUGUUGCCCAGUUCUGCGGAGACAGCAAUAGGAGUGAAGGAGUGGAAUGUGAAACCCGAGGGGUAAGCAAGCUGGACUCCAACCAAAGGAGAGUCAUUGGUUUUGAUCUGUGGACUUGGAUAUAUCUAAGUAGAGCUUGAGAAGUCCCCCUUUUCUUGGGGUAAGCACUGAACCAUCUGAAUAAAUGCUGCAGAGCAAAAAUGGACAAAGAAAAAAGCCCCUGGAAUCUAAAUGAAAGUCUAAGUGAAAGUGGGUCUAUCUUAAAUAUGACCGUGGAUUGUAUCAUAGAACCGACUAGAAGAAAUGCUGUGGACAUUUAAAGACUCUUCUGUAUCUGAAGUCUGAGUAAUUACACAGAUUAUUAUCCUGUAUAAUGUUAAGUGAAGGAAGAGUUAUUGACAAUGUAAUUACAAAUUACGACCAUGUUAAAUAAUAUGAAUAGAAAUGAGACUAGAAAGCAAUAAACCACAAUGCCAAUAUCGGUUUUGUUAGAGUGGUGAGAUUAUGGGUCAUUUACCCCUUCUUUUCCAAAUUGCCUAUAAAUUUUUUAAAAUUAUUUUUAUAAUGAACACAUUUUUUUUAAAAAAAGAAUUCACUACACUAACUCAUGCCAGAGCAAAAGUGAGCGGGCUUCUAGCAGAGUGGCUGGUAACUCUCAUUGUUCUGCUAACUGCAAGCUGACUGAUUGUGUUCUAUGGUCUCAAAGAAUGUCAAGAGUUAUCAUCCUCACCUUUGAGAGCAGUUCCUUUCACUGCAGUUGUUGGACGAGAAGUGCACUGAUGCGUUUCUACAUCUCCACACAGAGCACGGGAGCUUAACUGGCAACCAAUACCUUUGGAAGACCUGGUCUUGACAGCACUGGGCAGCCCUUUGAAAUGUGCCGAAGAUUUAAAGAAAAUUGUU